AAUAAGGUGCCUGACUAAAGGACUAUUUUGAUGGAAUAGAUAAUGUAAAUUUUACCCUUAUUA
RNAcentral lists this transfer RNA (63 nucleotides) under Acanthaspis ruficeps. RNAcentral's name for it is "tRNA-Ile". Lineage: Eukaryota; Metazoa; Arthropoda; Insecta; Hemiptera; Reduviidae. The record is from RNAcentral.